CCUACGGGCGGCUGCAGUGGGGAAUAUUGCACAGUGGGCGCAAGCCUGAUGCAGCCAUGCCGCGUGUGUGAAGAAGGCCUUCGGGUUGUAAAGCACUUUCAGCGGGGAGGAAGGCGGUGAGGUUAAUAACCUCAUCGAUUGACGUUACCCGCAGAAGAAGCACCGGCUAACUCCGUGCCAGCAGCCGCGGUAAUACGGAGGGUGCAAGCGUUAAUCGGAAUUACUGGGCGUAAAGCGCACGCAGGCGGUCUGUCAAGUCGGAUGUGAAAUCCCCGGGCUCAACCUGGGAACUGCAUUCGAAACUGGCAGGCUAGAGUCUUGUAGAGGGGGGUAGAAUUCCAGGUGUAGCGGUGAAAUGCGUAGAGAUCUGGAGGAAUACCGGUGGCGAAGGCGGCCCCCUGGACAAAGACUGACGCUCAGGUGCGAAAGCGUGGGGAGCAAACAGGAUUAGAUACCCGAGUAGUC
RNAcentral lists this ribosomal RNA (465 nucleotides) under uncultured Klebsiella sp. Its description in RNAcentral is "bacterial SSU rRNA". It matches the Rfam family "Bacterial small subunit ribosomal RNA", at positions 338 to 795 of the family's 1533-position model. Lineage: Bacteria; Pseudomonadati; Pseudomonadota; Gammaproteobacteria; Enterobacterales; Enterobacteriaceae. The record is from RNAcentral.